This 848-nucleotide unclassified non-coding RNA is filed under the name Hevea brasiliensis (rubber tree). Lineage: Eukaryota; Viridiplantae; Streptophyta; Magnoliopsida; Malpighiales; Euphorbiaceae. The record is from RNAcentral.
GGAGGCUGCCAUUAUAAGUACUGCCUUUGAGCUCAUCAUUUCGAACUCACAAGCUAAUAAGCUCAUUAUAGUAUAGACUUCUGAGUUAUUUUGAGAGCAUUAGAGCAAGAUAAUUUUUUUUUCCUCCUUUAUAUUUCUUCAUGGCUCCAGUGGGUAGCUUUAUUCAUAAGGCCUUGCUUCCAAUGGUCACUUCCAGCAGGCUCAGCAGUAAAAAUAUGAUCGUGUAGGUCUAGUUAUUCAUUCAUUGUAACUUUUACUGCUGUUCAAAUCAUGCAAAUUAUGCGUAUCAAAUUUCAAAUCAAUAUAUAUUAAUUAACACUGUUAAAAAUGUUUUUCCUUUGUGUAUCAGAAGAUUUGCUACACCAAGUCGGCCAAAGCCCAGCAAUGGGAAGCCACCAAGUCGGCCAAAGCCCAGCGAAGGGAAGCCUCCACAGAACAACGAAGUACCAAAAGGGAAGGUUACUCUUUCUAGCUUCGAUAGUAGUGAGACAGAAAGCAAGAAAAGCAAGGGAAAAAUGGAUGAUGGCGGCAUUGCAAUGGAUUCCAAGGCCACCAAAUGAGCUCCACAUGCUGCAUGCUUAAACUGUAGCUGAUGCAUAAUCUUAUAUUAGAGAAGUCAAUCUCUUCUAGCUAUCUUAGAAGUUAGCUCUCAAUAACAAGUAUGAGGUUGUUGUAUGUUGCUACUGUUUGCUUAUGUUUUAGUGGAGAAAGACAUAGGUCUUUCUGUGUGCGUAUGUAUGAAAUAAUUUAAUUUGGUUUGGAAUGUUUGAUGAGUAGUCGGUGUUGUUUACAUGCAAGUAGUUAAUUUCUAUGACAUAUAUUUUUGUAGGGAAAUUUUUAUAUAUGCC